RNAcentral lists this long non-coding RNA (2438 nucleotides) under Manihot esculenta (cassava). Its description in RNAcentral is "long non-coding RNA (MESC_LNC010438)". The record is from RNAcentral. Lineage: Eukaryota; Viridiplantae; Streptophyta; Magnoliopsida; Malpighiales; Euphorbiaceae.
GAUGUGGACCAGAGGAGGGAUGGCAGUCUUGGAGUGAGUUUGUCUGAAGAGGGCAUGGGAGAGUCCCAAGGAGGCACUCAGGCCUCGGGAUUUGUUCAGCCACCCCACUACCCACCCUUUUCACAAAAUCCCGGGUAUUCGAUGGGAGGUAUGUAAUACCCGGCUAGACUCCGGUAUCGGAAUUCCUACCGUCCGGUGGAAUCUCGGGUGUCGGAGACCUCUAGAAGGGUAAAAUCAUGUUUUUAUAAAAUGUUUUAAUGUAUUUUAUGUUUUUAAGCUAGAAGAAAAAUGAGUUUUUGCAUGAAAAUAAUCUUGGAGGAAGACCCAGGUUUGGCCGCCGAACCUCAAGUUCGGCCGCCGAACAUGCAUGCACUUCGGGAGUGCUUUAGGCCCCCGAAAGCAUAAGUGAGAGAAGUCUAGGUUCGGCCGCCGAACAUGGCAUGCAUGCGAAGGCACGUUCGGUCCCCAAAUGUGGCCUGGCCAGCCACCUAUAAAAGGGUCCCUUAACCGAAACGGGUGAGCUUUUCUCCCCAUUUUCGGCCAAGGUGAGCUCUCCGCCGUCCCUCGCCGAUCUUGAGUUUCUUCCUUCCAUUCUUCAUGAUUUUUAUGAGUUUGCAACUUUGUUUUGAAGAUUUUUGAGCAUAAAGCAAGUUUUGGAGCUUUGCGGUUCAAGAAACUCAAUCUCUCCCAUCUCCGAGCUAGGGUCGUUUUCCUCUCGAUCUUCAAGGGGUAAGGGCCGAUCUUGAGCUCACUAUAUGUUUUUAAACAAGUUUUAAGUUGAUUCAUGGGGUAGAAAUGUAUGUUUAUGUUAGUUAAGCAUUGUUAGGUUUUAUGUGUUUUAUGGACAAUGUAUGUUGGAUAUGCAUGUUUGAUGUGUUGUAGAUGGGGUUUAGGAUAGUUUGAAGCCCCUAAGAGCUGAUGUAUGUAUCUAUGCAUGUUUUGGAUGAGUUGUAUGCUUGAUUGAAAGGUUGGGAGGCGUUUGUGCAUGUGUGAGUCGAGUUUCUGCCCUUUUGGCAGAAACCAGGUUCGGCAGCCGAAGGAGUUUCGGCCUCCGAACCUGCCUGGGAGGCAAGCCUUUCGGCUGCCGAAGCAUGCCCCCGAAAAGAGACUUUCGUCUCUGGAGGGCACUUUCGGCCGCCGAACCUGCCUGACUUUCGGCUCUAGAGGGACUUUCGGCCGCCGAACCUGCCGCCGAAAGUGCCCUGUUCAGCCUUCCUUUGCAUGUUUUGCAUGAUUGUUUUGAGGUGUUUUAGGGGGUAUUUGGGGGAUGUUUUUAGAGUCAUGUUCUAGUUGUUUGGUCCCUCAUUUGAGUCCAUCUGUGUAGGUUCGGACCCGAGGAACCGAUGACCCCAGUAGUGAGUCAGCUGCUUCAGUCUUUGUCAGAGCUAGUUGAGGUGAGUAGAAUAAACCUUUAUGUUUUAAAACAAAUAAAUUAUAAAGUUUGAGCAUGUUCAUGCAUCAUGAAUGCCAUGUGAUAUUCUAGGUUGUUUGCAUUAGAAUUCACGAAUAUGCUGUAUUGCAUUAUUCUAUGAUGGAUGUGGAUGGAUGUUGGAUGAUCCUUAGUCCUCGAUAUGAUGCGAUGUGAUAUGAUACGGUAUGGUAUGGUAUGGAAGUCCGGUUGACCCAUUCUACGUCCCGGCACUAUGUAAGAGAAAGACCGGUUGACCCAUUCUACGUCCCGGCACCUUGGAAAUGUUAUGUUAUGAUAUGUUUAAGAGAAAGACCGGUUGACCCAUUCUACGUCCCGGCAUUUUGGAAUGUAGAGGACUAUUGGUGACAAUACCAUCCGUGAUGUGAUUUGUCUGUGAUGUGUUGCAUUCCAUUAUGGCAUAUAAUUCAAAUGUUUUAUUAUUCUGCUCACUGGGCUCUAGUAGCUCACCCCUCUCCCUAAUCCCCCAGGUUUGCAGGUACGGGCUAGGCAGAGAAGUCAAGAUGAAUGAAGUCGUGUAUGUAAUGGUUAGAAUGUGGACAUGAUAAAUUGUAAAAUGAUGUAAAUGUUGAUUCUGAGAUUGAGGUUUAGAAAUUGUGCUUGACCGAGUUUGUAUAGUAAUCCAUUUUGUAAAUAUGAUCUAUGUUUUAUUAUGUUUAUGUUCCACCAAGCUUGUGUAUGAUGAGAUGCCCCAUUGGAGCGUUUGUUGAGAGCUCCAGUGUGGGGCUUAUGUUUAUGUUUAUGUAUAUGUUUAUGGGCAUGCACAGGUUGAGCUUGGUAAAAGAAAAGUUCAAAUUUUUAUGUAUGUUGUUGAUCAUGUAUGGGAUUAAUCAGGUUUACAGGAUGCAUGUCAGGCUUGCUACGGGUCCCGGCGGCCUUAUGCCGAUCUGGAUCCUAGCGCUGGUAGCGGUCCGAUUUUCGGGUCGUUACAAGGUACAUCGGAUUACCCCAGCUUUAAUCCUUACCCUUCUCACAUGCCAUACCCACCUUUCUACCCACCAUACUCACA